UCAAAAGUGCUUUUUAUUUCAGCAAUCAAUGUUCAAGUACAAAGUGUCGACGUUUCAGUCCAACCGGACUUUACUGAAGACAAUUUAACAGUGUUAUACAACUCAUUGAAAUAUGCAGUGCUCAAACAUUCAUUGGAGGGUGUUAAGGUGUGAUGUCAUUAAUGACGUAUCUCAUUUCAAAUGAGUCAUCUGUGUAAUUAAUCCCCUAAUUCCCCAGAAGUGAGUAAUUAGGUGUUCAGAGGUGAUUAAGAAAACUAACUUCUAAAACAAAUAUAUACAUAUAUGUUGUGGAAAUAAGG
Non-coding RNA from Pelobates cultripes (western spadefoot toad), 299 nucleotides. Lineage: Eukaryota; Metazoa; Chordata; Amphibia; Anura; Pelobatidae. The record is from the annotation of a GenBank genome assembly.